GCCUGAGUGGCUCAGUGGUUGAGCAUCUGCCUUCAGCUCAAGUUGUGAUCCUGGGAUUCUGGGAUUGAGUCCCACUUCAGGCU
Molecule: non-coding RNA, 83 nt
Organism: Canis lupus familiaris (dog)
Lineage: Eukaryota; Metazoa; Chordata; Mammalia; Carnivora; Canidae
Source: Rfam